RNAcentral lists this long non-coding RNA (645 nucleotides) under Ailuropoda melanoleuca (giant panda). Its description in RNAcentral is "lncRNA (ENSAMEG00000027107.1)". Lineage: Eukaryota; Metazoa; Chordata; Mammalia; Carnivora; Ursidae. The record is from RNAcentral.
AUGGCCCCUGCCCAUCCUGCAGAUAUAGGAGCUCCUUGGGGUUGGGGCUGGGGCCUCAAGGGCUGGUACGCGGAAGGGGGUCUCACCCAGCGGCGGGCGGCUCCCGCUCUCCCCGUCCUCCAUCGCCUUUCGCCCCCCCGCCGGCAGGCGGCGCCCCUCCGUCCGGCUUCCCGCCGGGGUCGCGACGGGGCGUGCGCGCUCAAAGGCUGCCCGGCUCGGACGCCCGCACUUCCUGGUGGGAGCGGGCCUAACGGCGGGGUCCCCCUCGGGUCCCAGGGCCCGCGCUUGCUGCCCCCGCCCCUCCUCCUGGGAGCGCUCGGGGCGGAGCCGGCCGGGCGCGCUGGGCUCCCGCCCCUCUACCGGCGGUCACCUGGGGCCGGGCGCAGCAGGUGUCUGGUCUGGCGUCCCGAGCCGGCGACGCGGAGCGCGAGCCCGGAGCCUCGACGCGCCGGGUGGCCCCGGGAGGUGUCGGCAGGGCCCAACCCCGGAAUUCCAGAGGCGACCGCAAGGACCCAGCCGGCGGAGAAACGUCCAGCUGGGAGGAAACGUGCUCGCUUCGCCCCACCUUGUGCAAAUGACUCGGGAUUCCCCCCCGCCAUGGCUUUAGAAGGCAGGCUACAGGGGAGAGAGGGUUCCCAGCCCUGA